AGCACCAUUUCCCAGCCGAAUGAGCUUGGGAACAUAAAGCGAGUUUCUGUAGUGGUUACUCGCUUGGUGAAUAUGUUUUAUAAAUCCUGUCCACCCCGUGGAUAGGUAGUCGGCAAAACGUCGGACUGUCAAUAGAAUUGAAACGCUGGCACACUGUUGGGUCCUGAGGCAACACAUUGUGUUGUCACCCUGCUUGGUGGUGGGGUGUGGUCUUUGACUUAUGGAUAGUGGUUGCGAGCAUCUAACAAACCUCGCUCGUUUACGAGUGGGGUUAGUUUUUGCAAUUUAUUAGCUAAGUUCUUAAGGGCACAUGGUGGAUGCCUUGGC
Molecule: unclassified non-coding RNA, 327 nt
Filed under: Mycobacteroides chelonae
Lineage: Bacteria; Bacillati; Actinomycetota; Actinomycetes; Mycobacteriales; Mycobacteriaceae
Description: partial contains 16S ribosomal RNA and 16S-23S ribosomal RNA intergenic spacer
Source: RNAcentral